Apis cerana (Asiatic honeybee) is the source of this 349-nucleotide long non-coding RNA. RefSeq lists it as uncharacterized. Lineage: Eukaryota; Metazoa; Arthropoda; Insecta; Hymenoptera; Apidae. The record is from RefSeq and is a predicted model, not a curated record.
GAUCGGGAUGGUAAUAAAGGAGCGUCCGGGUAUCGCGUUGCCCCGUACGAGAAUUGAAUAUCCAUUGGCUUGGUCAGGUGCAGUUUGACGCAGCAAUAACAAUUGUAAUCGUAGUAAUAAUUUCACCCAAAUGCCAGCCCACUAACUCGAAAGUUUUAAUUGGAACUUGUCAUAUACGUUGAAACUAUACGCCACAGCGAAGCGUACGGACACUGUUCGAGGGUUUACGAGCUGGGAAGGACAAUAAAGAAGGUUCUUCUUUCUUCGAAAUUAGCUCAUUUUAUGCUUCGAUCGAAAAUACAUGGAUAUUUUCUAUGUAAUAAUGAAUCGGGGAUGUUUUGAAAAGGAG